RNAcentral lists this transfer RNA (74 nucleotides) under Myotis brandtii (Brandt's bat). It matches the Rfam family "tRNA". Rfam says of the family: Transfer RNA (tRNA) molecules are approximately 80 nucleotides in length. Their secondary structure includes four short double-helical elements and three loops (D, anti-codon, and T loops). Further hydrogen bonds mediate the characteristic L-shaped molecular structure. tRNAs have two regions of fundamental functional importance: the anti-codon, which is responsible for specific mRNA codon recognition, and the 3' end, to which the tRNAs corresponding amino acid is attached (by aminoacyl-tRNA synthetases). tRNAs cope with the degeneracy of the genetic code in two manners: having more than one tRNA (with a specific anti-codon) for a particular amino acid; and 'wobble' base-pairing, i.e. permitting non-standard base-pairing at the 3rd anti-codon position. The record is from Rfam by way of RNAcentral. Lineage: Eukaryota; Metazoa; Chordata; Mammalia; Chiroptera; Vespertilionidae.
GCCCAUGUUGCUCAGUGGUUAGAGUGUCAGCCUGUGCACUGAAGGGUCACGGGUUUGAUUCCCAGUCAAGGGCA